Molecule: ribosomal RNA, 468 nt
Filed under: uncultured bacterium
Lineage: Bacteria
Description: partial 16S ribosomal RNA
Rfam family: Bacterial small subunit ribosomal RNA
Source: RNAcentral
GACGAACGCUGGCGGCGUGCCUAACACAUGCAAGUCGAGCGGAAAGGCGAUGCUUUUGUGGCGUUCUUGAGAGGCGAAGGGGUGAGUAACACGUGAGUAUCCUGCACUUGUCUUUGUGAUAACACCUCGAAACUGCGGCUAUUAUCGGGUAGGAGCUCUUGCUGCGUGUGGGGCGAUAGAGAGAGUCGGCGGUUGUGGAUCGUCUCGCGGGUUAUCCGCUUGUUUGUGAGGUAGUGGCUGACCAAGGUUUUGACGGGUAGCCGGCAUGAGAGGGGUGCCGGCCACCUUGGGACUGAGAUAGGGCCCAGACUCCUACGGGAGGCAGCAGGGGGGAAUAUGGCAGAAUGGGCGGAAGCCUGAUGCAGCAACGCCGCGAGCGUGAUGACGGCUUUCGAGUGGUAAACCGAUUUCGAAUGUGACGAAGCGUGCGUGACGGUAAUGGGUAAAGAAGCACCGGCUAACUACGUG